AUUGAACGCUGGCGGCAUGCUUUACACAUGCAAGUCGAACGGUAACAGGCCGCAAGGUGCUGACGAGUGGCGAACGGGUGAGUAAUGCAUCGGAACGUGCCCAGUCGUGGGGGAUAACGCAGCGAAAGCUGUGCUAAUACCGCAUACGAUCUAUGGAUGAAAGCGGGGGACCGUAAGGCCUCGCGCGAUUGGAGCGGCCGAUGUCAGAUUAGGUAGUUGGUGGGGUAAAGGCUCACCAAGCCAACGAUCUGUAGCUGGUCUGAGAGGACGACCAGCCACACCGGAACUGAGACACGGCCCAGACUCCUACGGGAGGCAGCAGUGGGGAAUUUUGGACAAUGGGCGCAAGCCUGAUCCAGCAAUGCCGCGUGCAGGAAGAAGGCCUUCGGGUUGUAAACUGCUUUUGUACGGAACGAAACGGCGAGCUCUAAUACAGUUUGCUAAUGACGGUACCGUAAGAAUAAGCACCGGCUAACUACGUGCCAGCCGCCGUAACAC
RNAcentral lists this ribosomal RNA (498 nucleotides) under uncultured bacterium. RNAcentral describes it as "partial 16S ribosomal RNA". It matches the Rfam family "Bacterial small subunit ribosomal RNA", at positions 30 to 526 of the family's 1533-position model. The record is from RNAcentral.